This 575-nucleotide long non-coding RNA is filed under the name Ovis aries (sheep). RNAcentral describes it as "lncRNA (ENSOARG00000026982.1)". The record is from RNAcentral. Lineage: Eukaryota; Metazoa; Chordata; Mammalia; Artiodactyla; Bovidae.
UUAAAAAUAUAUAUAUUAAACUUUAGCUCCCAACGUAGAAAUCUAUGCGAACAGGAAAAGGCGAAAUUUGAAUCCACAAAGAAUAAUAAAGGAUAGCAUGUCAGCAGCGAGUUAGAAAAAGUCAAAGUUGAGAGCUCUGCUUCACAGCCUUCCCUGAGGUCUGCUGCUGCUAAGUCGCUUCAGUCGUGUCUGACUCUGUGCGACCCCAUAGACGGCAGCCCACCAGGCUCCCCCGUCCCAGAGAUUCUCCAGGCAAGAACACUGGAGUGGGUUUCUAUUUCCUUCUCCAAUGCAUGAAAGUGAAAAGUGAAAGUGAAGUUGCUCAGUCUUGUCCGACCCUCAGCGACCCCAUGGACUGCAACCUUCCAGGCUCCUCCGUCCAUGGGAUUUUCCAGGCAAGAGUACUGGAGUGGGGUGCCAUUGCCUUCUCCAUACUGAGGUCUAGGCCACCUCAUUUUACUUCAGCAGCAGUGUUUUCCAGCAGAGUUUCCUUGAAUUGUAAAGACUUCAGACCUCUAGCCAUUGGCUGCCACCAGGAAGAGCCAUCGUUAAUUAGCAAAAAUUGGUGCUUGUGU